Molecule: ribosomal RNA, 760 nt
Filed under: uncultured Sordariomycetes
Lineage: Eukaryota; Fungi; Ascomycota; Sordariomycetes
Description: SSU rRNA
Rfam family: Eukaryotic small subunit ribosomal RNA
Source: RNAcentral
UGCAUGGAAUAAUAAAAUAGGACGUGUGGUUCUAUUUUGUUGGUUUCUAGGACCGCCGUAAUAAUUAAUAGGGACAGUCGGGGGCAUCAGUAUUCAAUUGUCAGAGGUGAAAUUCUUGGAUCUAUUGAAGACUAACUACUGCGAAAGCAUUUGCCAAGGAUGUUUUCAUUGAUAAGGAACGAAAGUUAGGGGAUCGAAGACGAUCAGAUACCGUCGUAGUCUUAACUAUAAACUAUGCCGACUAGGGAUCGGACGAUGUUAUCUUUUGACGCGUUCGGCACCUUUCGAGAAAUCAAAGUGCUUGGGCUCCAGGGGGAGUAUGGUCGCAAGGCUGAAACUUAAAGAAAUUGACGGAAGGGCACCACCAGGGGUGGAACCUGCGGCUUAAUUUGACUCAACACGGGGAAACCCACCAGGUCCAGACACAGUGAGGAUUGACAGAUUGAGAGCUCUUUCUUGAUUCUGUGGGUGGUGGUGCAUGGCCGUUCUUAGUUGGUGGAGUGAUUUGUCUGCUUAUUUGCGAUAACGAACGAGACCUUAACCUGCUAAAUAGCCCGUACUGCUUUGGCAGUUCGCUGGCUUCUUAGAGGGACUAUCGGCUCAAGCCGAUGGAAGUUUGAGGCAAUAACAGGUCUGUGAUGCCCUUAGAUGUCCUGGGCCGCACGCGCGUUACACUGACAGAGCCAGCGAGUAUUUCCUUGACCGGAAGGUCCGGGUAAUCUUGUUAAACUCUGUCGUGCUGGGGAUAGAGCAUUGCAAU